UUUGCAAAUAUAAUUUUUGGAGCUGAACUAACACACCCUCCUUCACUCAGUAGCUAGGGAACACAUUACACCAGAAAACUUAACUUGAACGUGAGGAAGGGUGUAGAAAUGCUGCGACUGUAACAGACGAGGAGGAGAGAAAGGACUAGAGAGGAGGAGGAGGAGAGAGAGGAGACGAGAGAGAGAGAGAGAGAGAGAGGAAUAGACAGUCAGAGGACCAGUAUGGACUAUGACAGAAGGGGGGGUCGGGGAGACCGCAUGGGUCGCUAUGGCAACAACAGCUCCUCCGACCACGACUACCGAGACAUGGAUUACCGGGGCUACGGACCGGAAGAGGCGGAGCUGGGGACAGGAUAUGACGUCAGAGCUGGUGCCGGCCGCAGCGACAAAGCCGACCAACCGGCGGGCGUCCGGGAGUUCACGGCACCGGCCCGUUUCCACGACCAACGGCCAGGGUUCCGUCAGAGGGGUGGUCGGGGCGGUAAAGGAUUCCCAUCGCCCUGCGCCCCUCGAUCCCUGGUCUUACCCCUGCCAGAGGUAGCCCUGCCCAGGCUGCAGAGAGAGGAGAGAAUGGGAGAGGCAUCCAGGAGAGACUCUCAGAGCUUCAGGCCCAACUCAGAGGGUAGAGGAAGGG
This is a long non-coding RNA of Oncorhynchus tshawytscha (Chinook salmon), 634 nucleotides long. The record is from Ensembl. NCBI's taxonomy places the organism in Eukaryota, Metazoa, Chordata, Actinopteri, Salmoniformes, Salmonidae.